RNAcentral lists this long non-coding RNA (1325 nucleotides) under Lotus japonicus. RNAcentral describes it as "long non-coding RNA (LJAP_LNC001253)". The record is from RNAcentral. Lineage: Eukaryota; Viridiplantae; Streptophyta; Magnoliopsida; Fabales; Fabaceae.
GUUGAGAUAGAUUUAGUUUGUUUUAAUCUCUUUGUUAGUCUAUAUAUAUUGUAGUCUAGUCAAGUAUUAUGAAUGAAAUACAAGUAUUAUUUUAUCAAAUUCAAGUUGGUAUCAGAGCUAGUUUUGAUCCUACCGCUGUGAGGGGGCUCCUCCCCCGUGAGCCCCCUCAUGGUGACUUUCAAAAUCUCUUUGGAUUUAUUUUUCGUACUUUGCUUCCGUUUGUUAGUUCUAGCCGUUUUCUUACGGCCUCGUUUCUUUUUGAUUAUGGUUUCCUUUCUUUAGAGUUGGAAAAGAUUUUCGGAUUGUUUUUGGGAAUUUCUCUCUCCGGCAGCAGCAUCUUCUCAAGUUAAUUAUUUUUUGUUACAAGCUAUGCAUAUGAUAUAUAUGCUCUAGCUUGAGGGGAAGUGUUGUGUGAAUUUCUCUCUCCGGCAGCAGCGGCUUCUCGAGUUAAUAAUAUUUGUUACAAGCUAUGCAUAUGACAUAUAUGCUUUACCUUGAUGGGAAGUGUUAGAUAUUGUUAAAUAUCUUAGAGACUACAGUCAGCCACCGCCGCCGGAUUCCAAGCCACACGCCUCCCAUCUCUCUGCGUGUGAAGUCCACGCGCCACUCUCUCGUCUGCUUUGUUCACGCUGGUCCUCUUUGUGUAUCAGCCAGGUUGCACCGCUCUCUCCGCUGCUUUGUUCUCGCUGGUCCUCUGUGUAUCAGCCAGGUUUGGUUUUAAGGAUCCUCUGUUUUGACGUGUGUUGUGCCUUCACAAUUGUGAUCAUCCGGUCUUCCUCUCCCUGUUUGGUUGUUUGGUUUGUGGGUCAGCUGUUUUGACCCUGUUUGGACGUUUCUCGUGUCAUAUCUCACUGUUGGCCAAGUUUGGGUUGGUUUAGAGUUUUAACUCUGUUUUGACGCUCAGGUCCACAUUGGUUUUUGAGACUUGAGUUGUUGUUUGCGUCUCAUGGUUCGAGAUGCUGUUAUUAUAUUGAUCUAGGCUGACUUUAUGCAAUUUGGUUUGGUUUGGUUUUGAAGGUGACAGUGUCACCUUCGUUUGUUUUGUCUCGAUUGUUUGGUUUGGUUUCGGGGCUUCAGGUGCGAGUUGCGCUGGCCCACUCUCUAGUUGAGAGUUAUUGGUUCUGGUUUUAGGGCUUCAGCUGCGAGUUGCGCUGGCCCACUCUCUAAUGUUUGAGAGUUGUCUGUGUCAAAGUUGACACCAUUGUUUGUCUUAGAAGCCAUCAAUCGAUUGACUUCAAGUAUGUUUUAUUUCUGUGUGGUUGAUGUUGGUGAAUUGUUGCUUCAGCUUUGUUUUGUUUUCGGGCGUAUUGUUGCUGGUUUUUCGC